GCAGGAGUGGUGGAAUCGGCAGACACGCUACUUUGAGGGGGUAGUGAAAGAAAUUUCGUGCGGGUUCAAAUCCCGCCUCCUGCACCA
RNAcentral lists this transfer RNA (87 nucleotides) under Thermoanaerobacterales bacterium. RNAcentral describes it as "tRNA-Leu". It matches the Rfam family "tRNA". Rfam says of the family: Transfer RNA (tRNA) molecules are approximately 80 nucleotides in length. Their secondary structure includes four short double-helical elements and three loops (D, anti-codon, and T loops). Further hydrogen bonds mediate the characteristic L-shaped molecular structure. tRNAs have two regions of fundamental functional importance: the anti-codon, which is responsible for specific mRNA codon recognition, and the 3' end, to which the tRNAs corresponding amino acid is attached (by aminoacyl-tRNA synthetases). tRNAs cope with the degeneracy of the genetic code in two manners: having more than one tRNA (with a specific anti-codon) for a particular amino acid; and 'wobble' base-pairing, i.e. permitting non-standard base-pairing at the 3rd anti-codon position. Lineage: Bacteria; Bacillati; Bacillota; Clostridia; Thermoanaerobacterales. The record is from RNAcentral.